GAUGAACGCUGGCGGCGUGCUUAACACAUGCAAGUCGAGCGAGUGAGUUCUUCGGAACGAUCUAGCGGCGGACGGGUGAGUAACACGUGGGCAACCUGCCUCAUAGAGGGGAAUAGCCUCCCGAAAGGGAGAUUAAUACCGCAUAAAAUUAUCGAGUGGCAUCACAUGAUAAUCAAAGGAGUAAUCCGCUAUGAGAUGGGCCCGCGGCGCAUUAGCUAGUUGGUGAGGUAACGGCUCACCAAGGCGACGAUGCGUAGCCGACCUGAGAGGGUGAUCGAGCACAGUGAGACUGGGACACGGCCCAGACUCCUACGGGAGGCAGCAGUGGGGAAUAUUGCACAAUGGGGGAAACCCUGAUGCUGCAACGCCGCGUGAGUGAUGAAGGUCUUCGGAUUGUAAAGCUCUGUCUUUGGGGACGAUAAUGACGGUACCCAAGGAGGAAGCCACGGCUAACUACGUGCCAGCCGCCGCCGUAA
This 476-nucleotide ribosomal RNA is filed under the name uncultured bacterium. RNAcentral describes it as "partial 16S ribosomal RNA". It matches the Rfam family "Bacterial small subunit ribosomal RNA", at positions 28 to 523 of the family's 1533-position model. The record is from RNAcentral.